GGGCGAGUAAGCGAUCUACGUGUC
RNAcentral lists this non-coding RNA (24 nucleotides) under Arabidopsis thaliana (thale cress). Lineage: Eukaryota; Viridiplantae; Streptophyta; Magnoliopsida; Brassicales; Brassicaceae. The record is from RNAcentral.